GUGUGUGUGUGUGAGUGUGUGUGUGUGGAUGGGAUAGUAUAUUUGUUUUGAAAGGAAGUAUAGUAGAAGUAGUAGUAGUAGUUGUGUGAAUGUUAAUGAGAAUGUGUGUGUGUGUGUGUAUGACUUUUGUGCUUGCUUGGAUAGGGUUGUGUGAAUAUAUGUUGUUGUGUAGUUGUAGUUGAUGACCGGAAGCAUUGGUAGGCAAGCAUGCAGGUGUAUUUCUGUGUAUGAAUUAAAGCGGACUUGAAGUACAUACAAGAAUGGGAGACCGAUUGAAUGAGGUGUUUGACAAUGAAUGACGGAAAGUACGGUGAAAAACGGUGACCUAAUAAUGUGUUAGGGUGUCAGUCUUUACAAUCCGAUGAGCUGUAAGUGUGUGUGUGUGUGUAUAUCUAUGUACUGAGAGAACCAGAUAAACUUAGUCAAAUCAACCCGCCUUAAAGAAUCAAGUAUGUUAGUGGGUAUGUCUAUUCCCUCUCCCCUCUACCCUAUAUAUACACACACACAUAAGCGGGGUUAUUCAUAGGUAUGUAAACGCAGGAAUAGACCAGGUAAACUUAUUCAAAUCAACCCGCCUUAAAGAAUCAAGUAUGUUAGUGUGUAUAUGUGUGUUUCCUCUCCCUUUCCCCCUACAUAUACACACAUAAGCAAUUUUAUUUAUAGGUAUUUAAACGCAGGAAUACAGGAAGUGUGUAGAGAAAUGCCUUAUUCAAAUCUAGUAUGUUAGUGUGAGAAAAACAAGAAAAUUAAGUUAGAAAAAAAAAGAGAAAAAUAAAAAUAAAACAAGAAAACGAUACAGGAAAAUUAAGAUAGGAAAAAAAAGAGAAAAAUAAAAAUAAAACUUAAGAAAA
Long non-coding RNA from Eriocheir sinensis (Chinese mitten crab), 851 nucleotides. RefSeq lists it as uncharacterized. The transcript is spliced from 2 exons. The record is from RefSeq and is a predicted model, not a curated record. Lineage: Eukaryota; Metazoa; Arthropoda; Malacostraca; Decapoda; Varunidae.